RNAcentral lists this ribosomal RNA (169 nucleotides) under Paenibacillus arenosi. Its description in RNAcentral is "Paenibacillus sp. CAU 1523 partial 23S ribosomal RNA". It matches the Rfam family "Bacterial large subunit ribosomal RNA", at positions 2749 to 2925 of the family's 2925-position model. The record is from RNAcentral. Lineage: Bacteria; Bacillati; Bacillota; Bacilli; Caryophanales; Paenibacillaceae.
CCAAGUACGGAAGGGAUAAGCGCUGAAAGCAUCUAAGCGCGAAGCCCCCCUCAAGAUGAGAUUUCCCAAUUAGUAAGACCCCUUGAAGACGACGAGGUUGAUAGGUUCGGGGUGGAAGCACAGUAAUGUGUGGAGCUGACGAAUACUAAUAGGUCGAGGGCUUAUCCUA